CCUACGGGGGGCAGCAGUGGGGAAUAUUGGACAAUGGGGGGAACCCUGAUCCAGCGACGCCGCGUGAGUGAAGAAGUAUUUCGGUAUGUAAAGCUCUAUCAGCAGGGAAGAAAGAAAUGACGGUACCUGACUAAGAAGCCCCGGCUAACUACGUGCCAGCAGCCGCGGUAAUACGUAGGGGGCAAGCGUUAUCCGGAUUUAAUGGGUGUAAAGGGAGCGUAGACGGCGAUGCAAGUCUGAAGUGAAAGGCGGGGGCCCAACCCCUGGACUGCUUUGGAAACUGUAUGGCUGGAGUGCAGGAGAGGUAAGUGGAAUGCCUGGUGUAGCGGUGAAAUGCGUAGAUAUUAGGAAGAACACCAGUGGCGAAGGCGGAUUACUGGACGACAACUGACGGUGAGGCGCGAAAGCGUGGGGAGCAAACAGGAUUAGAUACCCGAGUAGUC
This 443-nucleotide ribosomal RNA is filed under the name uncultured bacterium. RNAcentral describes it as "partial 16S ribosomal RNA". It matches the Rfam family "Bacterial small subunit ribosomal RNA", at positions 338 to 795 of the family's 1533-position model. The record is from RNAcentral.